RNAcentral lists this ribosomal RNA (253 nucleotides) under uncultured bacterium. RNAcentral's name for it is "partial 16S ribosomal RNA". It matches the Rfam family "Bacterial small subunit ribosomal RNA", at positions 524 to 776 of the family's 1533-position model. The record is from RNAcentral.
UACGGGGGGGGCAAGCGUUGUUCGGAAUUACUGGGCGUAAAGGGCUCGUAGGCGGCCAACUAAGUCAGACGUGAAAUCCCUCGGCUCAACCUGGGAACUGCGUCCGAUACUGGAUGGCUUGAAUCCGGGAGAGGGAUGCAGAAUUCCAGGUGUAGCGGUGAAAUGCGUAGAUAUCUGGAGGAAUACCGGUGGCGAAGGCGGCAUCCUGGACCGGCAUUGACGCUGAGGAGCGAAAGCCAGGGGAGCAAACGGG